GAUGAACGCUAGCGAUAGGCUUAACACAUGCAAGUCGAGGGGCAGCACAAGGUAGCUUGCUAUCUGGGUGGCGACCGGCGCACGAGUGCGUAACGCGUAUGCAACUUGCCCUAUACAGGAGGAUAACCCGUCGAAAGACGGACUAAUACUGCGUAUGCUCACAACUUGGCAUCAAGUGGUGAGGAAAGAGAUUCGGUAUAGGAUAGGCAUGCGUCCCAUUAGCUUGUUGGUGAGGUAACGGCUCACCAAGGCAACGAUGGGUAGGGGAACUGAGAGGUUUAUCCCCCACACUGGUACUGAGACACGGACCAGACUCCUACGGGAGGCAGCAGUGAGGAAUAUUGGUCAAUGGGCGCGAGCCUGAACCAGCCAAGUCGCGUGAAGGAUGACUGUCUUAUGGAUUGUAAACUUCUUUUAUACGGGAAUAACAAGAGUCACGGGUGACUCCCUGCAUGUACCGUAUGAAUAAGCAUCGGCUAACUCCGUG
This 487-nucleotide ribosomal RNA is filed under the name uncultured bacterium. Its description in RNAcentral is "partial 16S ribosomal RNA". It matches the Rfam family "Bacterial small subunit ribosomal RNA", at positions 28 to 507 of the family's 1533-position model. The record is from RNAcentral.